Molecule: long non-coding RNA, 674 nt
Organism: Prosopis cineraria
Lineage: Eukaryota; Viridiplantae; Streptophyta; Magnoliopsida; Fabales; Fabaceae
Exons: 3
Source: RefSeq, a predicted model, not a curated record
GCGUGUGCACACACUUAGAUACGUAGAUUUGGUUGCCCACUUGCUAUUUUUGUUGACUGAUUCUGCAAUUGGCAAGAAGCUCGUCCAAGUGGAGGACUUAUCGUUUCCUGAGGAGAGGGGUCCAAGAAUCGCGUUCUUCAAUCUCAUUAACUGAAGGAUCUCAGCUGUUGAACGAAUUCGGUGGAGCAGAUGAAGCCAAGUGGUAGGUUAGAUGUGACCUGUUGUUCAGCUGAAUGUUAACUCUGACCUGUUGGCUGUGAUAUUAACCGAAUGAUACUGGUGGACUUGGAGUUCAGAUAGAGAGGAGAGACGGGUUUGUAGGUUCCACCUAACCUGCGGGGUUCACCAAAAAAUUUCUCCUGCUCUCUCCGCCCCGAUCCUUCUGCACCAUGAGGAGAAUCUUCCCCCCCCCCCCUCUCUAUAUUAGUUUCCUAUUUGUUUGUUGUUUAUGAAUGUUGUAGACCAUUCGUUAGUAUAUGUAGAUUGUAGAGAGUGCACAUGCUACGUUGUGGCGCAUCAAGAAAAAGCAUGAGCAAAGAGUGAACAAAGGAAUGCAAUAGGUUAGUAAAUUGUUUUCUAUCCCAAUUAUAUAUGCUUGUUACUUUGAUUGUUCUAUAAUCGAUGUAUAACCGUAAAAAUUACUAGUCAAUUCAUGCAAGACAAAGUAAAUAUAA